GACGAACGCUGGCGGCGUGCUUAACACAUGCAAGUCGAACGGAAAGGCCCUGCUUUUGUGGGGUGCUCGAGUGGCGAACGGGUGAGUAACACGUGAGUAACCUGCCCUUGACUUUGGGAUAACUUCAGGAAACUGGGGCUAAUACCGGAUAGGAGCUCCUGCUGCAUGGUGGGUGUUGGAAAGUUUCGGCGGUUGGGGAUGGACUCGCGGCUUAUCAGCUUGUGGGUGGGGUAGUGGCUUACCAAGGCUUUGACGGGUAGCCGGCCUGAGAGGGUGACCGGCCACAUUGGGACUGAGAUACGGCCCAGACUCCUACGGGAGGCAGCAGUGGGGAAUAUUGCACAAUGGGCGGAAGCCUGAUGCAGCAACGCCGCGUGCGGGAUGACGGCCUUCGGGUUGUAAACCGCUUUCGCCUGUGACGAAGCGUGAGUGACGGUAAUGGGUAAAGAAGCACCGGCUAACUACGUG
RNAcentral lists this ribosomal RNA (468 nucleotides) under uncultured bacterium. RNAcentral describes it as "partial 16S ribosomal RNA". It matches the Rfam family "Bacterial small subunit ribosomal RNA", at positions 28 to 507 of the family's 1533-position model. The record is from RNAcentral.